Molecule: ribosomal RNA, 1444 nt
Filed under: uncultured organism
Description: SSU rRNA
Rfam family: Bacterial small subunit ribosomal RNA
Source: RNAcentral
AGCUACAGGCUUCACACAUGCAAGUCGAGGGGCAGCAUGGUCUUAGCUUGCUAAGACUGAUGGCGACCGGCGCACGGGUGAGUAACACGUAUCCAACCUGCCGUCUACUCUUGGACAGCCUUCUGAAAGGAAGAUUAAUACAAGAUGGCAUCAUGAGUCCGCAUGUUCACAUGAUUAAAGGUAUUCCGGUAGACGAUGGGGAUGCGUUCCAUUAGAUAGUAGGCGGGGUAACGGCCCACCUAGUCUUCGAUGGAUAGGGGUUCUGAGAGGAAGGUCCCCCACAUUGGAACUGAGACACGGUCCAAACUCCUACGGGAGGCAGCAGUGAGGAAUAUUGGUCAAUGGGCGAGAGCCUGAACCAGCCAAGUAGCGUGAAGGAUGACUGCCCUAUGGGUUGUAAACUUCUUUUAUAAAGGAAUAAAGUCGGGUAUGGAUACCCGUUUGCAUGUACUUUAUGAAUAAGGAUCGGCUAACUCCGUGCCAGCAGCCGCGGUAAUACGGAGGAUCCGAGCGUUAUCCGGAUUUAUUGGGUUUAAAGGGAGCGUAGAUGGAUGUUUAAGUCAGUUGUGAAAGUUUGCGGCUCAACCGUAAAAUUGCAGUUGAUACUGGAUAUCUUGAGUGCAGUUGAGGCAGGCGGAAUUCGUGGUGUAGCGGUGAAAUGCUUAGAUAUCACGAAGAACUCCGAUUGCGAAGGCAGCCUGCUAAGCUGCAACUGACAUUGAGGCUCGAAAGUGUGGGUAUCAAACAGGAUUAGAUACCCUGGUAGUCCACACGGUAAACGAUGAAUACUCGCUGUUUGCGAUAUACGGCAAGCGGCCAAGCGAAAGCGUUAAGUAUUCCACCUGGGGAGUACGCCGGCAACGGUGAAACUCAAAGGAAUUGACGGGGGCCCGCACAAGCGGAGGAACAUGUGGUUUAAUUCGAUGAUACGCGAGGAACCUUACCCGGGCUUAAAUUGCAGAUGAAUUACGGUGAAAGCCGUAAGCCGCAAGGCAUCUGUGAAGGUGCUGCAUGGUUGUCGUCAGCUCGUGCCGUGAGGUGUCGGCUUAAGUGCCAUAACGAGCGCAACCCUUGUUGUCAGUUACUAACAGGUUCCGCUGAGGACUCUGACAAGACUGCCAUCGUAAGAUGUGAGGAAGGUGGGGAUGACGUCAAAUCAGCACGGCCCUUACGUCCGGGGCUACACACGUGUUACAAUGGGGGGUACAGAGGGCCGCUACCACGCGAGUGGAUGCCAAUCCCAAAAACCUCUCUCAGUUCGGACUGGAGUCUGCAACCCGACUCCACGAAGCUGGAUUCGCUAGUAAUCGCGCAUCAGCCACGGCGCGGUGAAUACGUUCCCGGGCCUUGUACACACCGCCCGUCAAGCCAUGGGAGCCGGGGGUACCUGAAGUGCGUAACCGCGAGGAGCGCCCUAGGGUAAAACUGGUGACUGGGGCUAAGU